RNAcentral lists this long non-coding RNA (1158 nucleotides) under Homo sapiens (human). RNAcentral's name for it is "non-protein coding lnc-SPATA6-8:2". Lineage: Eukaryota; Metazoa; Chordata; Mammalia; Primates; Hominidae. The record is from RNAcentral.
CCAGGUGCUGUUUGCCCUGAACCAAACCCUGCUGCAGCAGGAGAGUGUGCGGGCCGGGAGCCUGCAGGCCUCCUACACCACGGAGGACCUCAUCAAGCACUACAACUGCGGAGACCUCAGCGCAGUCAUCUUCAACCACGACACAUCCCAGCUGCCCAACUUUAUCAACACCACCCUCCCGCCACACGAGCAGGUGACGGCCCAGGAGAUUGACAGCUACUUCCGCCAGGAGCUCAUCUACAAGAGGAAUGAGCGCAUGGGGAAGAGGGUCAUGGCGCUUCUACGGGAGAACGAGGACAAGAUCUGCUUCUUUGCCUUCGGAGCAGGUCACUUUCUGGGGAACAACACAGUCAUCGACAUCCUGCGGCAGGCAGGGCUGGAGGUGGACCACACACCCGCCGGGCAGGCCAUACACAGCCCUGCCCCCCAGAGCCCAGCGCCCUCUCCUGAGGGGACCUCGACGAGCCCGGCCCCAGUGACCCCAGCUGCCGCUGUCCCCGAAGCACCCUCUGUGACCCCCACCGCCCCACCAGAGGAUGAGGAUCCAGCCCUGUCCCCACACCUCCUGCUCCCCGACAGCCUCAGCCAGCUGGAGGAGUUUGGCCGGCAGAGGAAGUGGCACAAGAGGCAGAGCACACACCAGCGGCCGCGGCAGUUCAAUGACCUCUGGGUCCGCAUCGAGGACAGCACCACCGCCUCACCACCCCCGCUGCCCCUGCAGCCCACCCACAGCUCGGGGACCGCCAAGCCCCCCUUCCAGCUUUCAGACCAGCUACAACAGCAGGACCCGCCAGGGCCCGCCAGCAGCUCGGCACCCACCCUGGGCCUUCUCCCCGCCAUCGCCACCACCAUCGCUGUCUGCUUCCUGCUGCAUAGCCUUGGGCCCUCCUGACCUCGGCCACCCCAAGUGGAGAAGCCAGAGAAAUGACACAGGGGUCUUCGGCCACACCCAACUGCUCCUGCCACCACCUCCAGGGGGUGCCCAACACGUCGAGGGCAGUCCACAUGGGAUUGGCUAGACACUCUAGAGCUUUACUGUACCCAAGUUACAUCUUCUUUUUUGUAGAAGGAUCUUAAUUUCCCAUAGUGCUAUGGGGCUCUUUUGUAAAAUACGUGUCCAUAUUAAAAAAGAAAAAUGUAUUUAUUCUACCGAUAAAA